GCGCGGGCCCGCUCGCCGCCCGGCCGCUGUCAGCGCCGCCCGCACCUCGCCGGCGAGGCGCGCGGGCUGCGCGGCGCUCUCGGAGGCCCGGGCUUCGCCGCCGCCCGCGCCGCCGCUUCUCUUUGUCCGGGCGAGGCGGCCGGAGGGGCGGCCGCUGCGGCCGGGGGGCGCCUCGGCGUCCGGUCGGCGGGUCCCCGGCCGUCGGCACCGCGGCCGCCGCGCGCUCGGAGCGGGGGCGGCGGCCUGGGCGGUGCCGGCGCGAGGUGAGCGCGGGGCGCGAGCGGGCGUGGGCGGGCGGCGGGGACCCGGCUGGGGAGCCGGCUCCGCGCGCGGGGGCGUCCCUGCCCCCUCCGCUUGCGCCACCUCUGCCGGCUUCUCCCGGCAAGUUUGUCGCCCCCGCUUUGCGGACCUCCUCGGAGGAGCCAGACCUGUGGCCAAAUAGAAAACUCGAGCUGGAGGCGGAGUAGGCGGAGGAGGCGUGUGGGAAGCCGGUCCGGGGUGAGAGUCUACUGAAGGGCAGUGCUGGCUUCUUGGACAUCUUCCUUGGCUCUUUCCCACCCAGCCCUCGUUCUCUCCUGCCUGCAUCACCUGCUCGCGCUGAGGUAUUGCAGCUCAUCCGGCACCUUCGCGUGCUGCCAGGUUAAACAUUGUCUGUUUUAGAAGGGCUGGUAGGUGCCCUGAAGAUGUGUUGGGUUGGAAUGGAAACAUUAACACCCAAACCCCUGCUGCUGCUCAGAAAAUGACGUGCGCACAGCGAUAGGUUUCUACACCUGGAUUGUCAACUAGGGCAAAUUGUCACCAAUGGCAGUAAAAACUGUUUUCUGGGGGUCAAGGCGCCUGGAUGAAGCCACGUAUCCAGUGUCCAAAACUGAAGCCCUUGGGCAAGUAUGACUCGCAUGGUCCUUUUUGCCUGGGAUGCUGAUACAGCCAAAGGAGCCGACUUCUUCUGAGAUGGAGAAAAAUUUAUGUCUCGUGGGCUAAUUGGCUCUCGUUCAGCUGUGAACCUAACAGAUAAGUCAUCCUGCUGUGUAUCAAGACAAUGCCCAGUUUUGAAACUGCUCUGAAAAUGAUGAAGGCAGGAUCGCCCAGUGAUGCUGUCAGGGGCCAACAAGCAGCUUGAGAAUUCCCUGUUCACCAGGUAGCAGCUUGAAGGAAGCCCCUUCCCAUUAAGGAGGACUGCAUGGCAGGCAGCCCCCACUGAACGCUGGAAAAUGAGUGUCCCAGUGGCUCCUAAGAAAUCAUGUUACCCUGAGUUACGGGACCAGAGAAAUGGAGUGAAAAACAGUAAUGAGAGCGUCCUACGUCUGGGAGACACCAACGCCAACCCCAUCAUGUUGGAGGUCAGCCCCUCUCCUGGUGAGCCUGUGACAUGUGCCCUGACAGAUGAAAUUGGAAAUGCAAAUUCAAGGGGGCCAGAAAGUAGCACCCGUGUCCAGAAGGAGUUUCACCCCCUUCAGGGCUUUUCGAAGGCAUCUCAGGCUGGCCCUGCCAGCCUGAAGGAUUUUAAAUUUUCUCCGAUGGCUCAGAGAGAACGGAAUGAAGAGCCCACGCUGGAGAGAGGCACAGGUCCCCUGCAGGCCCCUCGGGGUCUUCAGGGACAAGGUCAGCCAAGUUGGAGGACUGUCACAGGUGAGGCCAGCCCAGAGGUUUCGGCUCAGAGGGAGGUUGACGUUCCCUGGCGUGUUCCCAAGGAUAAGUUGGCCAAGACCCUUGACAAUGAGGAAUUGAGGAGGCAUUCUUUGGAGAGAGCGGGCAGCUCUGCCGUAGCCGGGGGCAUGCUUACCAAGGAGUGGGCUGGGGGCCUGGCCUGGCCGCUUCCACAGCCCGCAGUGCUGGGGUCCCCAGAAGCCCCCCGUCCGGUACCCAGUGGCGGGGAGGGGCCGCAGAAGACGGGGGCAGCCCCUUCUCCAGGGCCGGCUUGUCUUCCAGCUGAUGGUACCUCAGAGGGAAAGAGCUCACGUCAUCCUAAACCAUCUACCUCAGUAAUCAAGGAGACCACCCCCUCAGAGACCCAGCCGGAUGGGGGACAGGUACCCAACGUUAGCACCCAGAGCACAGAGCCUUCCGCCUACCCGGAGUGCGCCCCCAGUUCCUCUCCAGCCUCGAAAGAUGCCCUGAGGAAGCCAGAAGCACAGUCAGGUGAGGGAAAGCCCGAGCCCAAGGUGGAGCUGAAACUUGUCCCGCUCAGGGCCGUGCAGGAGUUCAAGUCCACCCCGGCGGAGGGGCUGGGGUGUCCUCAGGAGGACGGCGUGUCGCCCCUAGGGAGAAAGGAGCCGUGUACAGAGGAGGCACAGCAAGAAGCCUCGGCCGCUGCACGCAGCGGCCCCCAGCCGCCGGGUGUGGGAAGAGGCAGGGGUGAGCGGGGAAAGAGAGGUGAGGAGGGGUCUCUGCAGACCACGCCCAAGCCGGGCCCCGCUUCCUCGGGAGCUGCUGAGCGUCAGCCCACGGGCAGAAGUUCACCAGGCGCAGCUAGGAGACCGGGUGAAACCCCAUCCAGCAGCGUUUCACCCAGGGAGGGUCACGUCGCUUUUGUUCCUGGUGAUUCGACUGACAGCAGGCCCUCGGGUGCCAGUGAGGAGAGAGGGGUCCUGGGCGGUGGGAACGGGGACGGCGCUACGGUUUUUAAUUCAGAUGGUUCUGCUGGAGAGAGCAGAACUGGGGUCCCCGAGCCCCCCGACCCUCCAAGCAGCAGCUUAGAAGCUGGGGAAAGCACAGAGAUCGCUACAUCCAUGGCUGAGACUAGGAACCGUCUAGAGACUGCAGUGAAGACUGAAAGCGCCCCCCAGGCAAGAGCAGAUUCUCUUCCCGGAGUCCCAGUGCCCCUCCACCCAGAGACAACUGUGAAUGUGGCCCGCCAGCCCGUGCAACCCAGCAGCCGUUUUCCGGACUUGGGCGCCUUGAAUGUGGACGCGGGGGUCCCCCCGGCCGCCCCGCCUUCUGCCAACAGCUCCAGGUUGUCACACGCUUCCCUGAAAGUGCCUGACAAGAACCCCUGCCCUGGUGGGAUCCCCAAGCCUGGCCUCACCCGUCCCGAGGACACACCCGCCUCACAGGAGGGAACGGAGGGCCCCCAGGUUGAAAAGACAGAAGAAAGGGUGGAUCCCCGGCCCAUCGUUAUGCCCAAGCCCAAGCACGUGAGGCCCAAGAUCAUCACCUACAUCCGGAGGAGCCCUCAGGCCCUCGGCCAGGUGGACGCGUCUCUGGUUCCCGUGGGGCUACCUUAUGCUCCACCCCCGUGUAACGUGCCUCUUCCCAAAGAGGAGAAGGCGGCAGGUGGAGACCUGAAGCCGGCCGCCAGCCUCUACGACAAGUUCAAGCCAGACCUGCAGAGGUCCCGCGUGUUCAGCUCCGGACUCGUGGUGUCUGGGAUCAAGCCCCCGGGACACCCCUUCAGUCAAAUGAGUGAAAAGUUUUUACAGGAGGUUACAGAACGCCCUGGAAAAGAAGAAUUUUGUCCUCCUCCCUAUACUCACUACGAAGUUCCUCCAACUUUCUAUCGAUCGGCCAUGCUCCUUAAGCCCCAGCUGGGAUUGGGUGCGAUGUCACGUUUACCAUCUGCCAGGAGCAGGAUCCUGAUCGCGAGCCAGAGGUCUUCAGCGAGCGCCAUUCACCCACCAGGAACCCUAGCGGCAGCUGCCAGCCUCUACAGCUCCGACCCUGCAGCAGAUUUAAAGAAACCUUCCAGUUCAAAUGCUGCAAAAUCCAACCUACCCAAAUCUGGACUUCGUCCUCCCGGCUACUCGCGUCUCCCGGCGGCCAAGCUGGCGGCCUUUGGCUUCGUCCGGAGCUCCAGCGUGACCUCGGUGUCCAGCACCCAGCCAGCGGACAGCGCCCAGCCCGAGCCCGGCCGGCUGGCCAACCGUUCAACCUUUGGGACUGAAGACCAGCCGGCUCUGAAGGCAGCUCUGCCUUCCAAAGACACACCCAAAGGGGCUGCCCGGGUGGCCCCUCCGGCGUCCUCCAGUGUGACAACACCUCGCAGGAGUUUGCUUCCGGCGCCAAAAUCCACGACCACACCGGCCGGAACAAAGAAAGAAGUACAAAAAGAUCAAGAUGCUAGUAAACCUGCAGUUUCAUCUCCUAAGAGAACAGCGGCUUCAACCACCAAGCUUCAUUCGCCAGGAUACCCCAAGCAGAGGCCCACGGCCCCCCGCAACGGGGUCUCCCCCAAGCCGGACCCGCAGGCCCGAGAGGCCGAGCGGCAGCUGGUGCAGCGGCUGAAGGAGAGGUGCGACCAGCAGACGCGGCAGCUGGGCCUCGUGCAGGCGGAGCUGAGACGGGCCGUCCGGGGCUUCGAGGCGCUCGCCGUGUCCACUCAGCUCUUCUUUGGGAAGAAUGAAAGUGCCCUUGUGAAAGAAAAAGAGCUGUCAAUCGAACUUGCAAACAUCAGGGAUGAAGUUGCCUUCCAUGCGGCGAAGUGUGAGAAGCUGCAGCGGGAGAAGGCGGAGCUGGAGCGGCGCCGUGAGGACGAGGUGCGCAGGCGGGGCCGGCAGCAUCAGGCCGAGCUGCGCGACCUGGAACGGCGGCUGCAGCUGCAGUUCGAGACCGAGGCGGCCCAGCUCCAGGAGGAGCACCGCGCACAGCUGCUGCGGAUCGGGUGUCAGCACCAGGAGCAGGUGGAAGACAUCACCGCCAGCCAUGAGGCUGCUCUCCUAGAGAUGGAAAACAGCCACACGGUUGCCGUCUCGCUCCUGCAGGAUGACCACGACCACAAGGUGCAAGAACUGAUAUCUACCCACGAGCUUGAAAAGAAAGAAUUGGAAGAAAAUUUUGAAAAGCUGCGGCUGUCAUUACAGGACCAGGUGGACACGCUGACCUUCCAGAGCCAGUCUCUGCGGGACCGAGCCAGACGCUUCGAGGAAGCUUUGAGGAAAAACACUGAGGAGCAGCUGGAGAUUGCAUUGGCUCCUUAUCAGCACUUGGAAGAAGACAUGAAGAGUCUGAAGCAGGUAUUAGAGAUGAAGAAUCAGCAAAUACACCAGCAGGAAAAGAAGAUUAUUGAGCUGGAAAAGCUGGCAGAAAAGAACAUUAUCCUGGAAGAAAAGAUCCAGGUUCUCCAACAGCAGAAUGAAGACCUCAAAGCCAGGAUCGACCAGAACACCGUUGUCACGAGACAGCUGUCAGAGGAGAAUGCCAACCUCCAGGAGUACGUGGAGAAAGAAACGCAGGAGAAGAAGAGAUUGAGCCGAACCAACGAAGAGCUGCUCUGGAAGCUGCAAACAGGGGACCCAACCAGCCCGAUUAAACUGUCCCCCACGUCCCCCGUUCACCGAGGCUCCUCCUCUGGGCCCUCCUCUCCCGCCAGAGUCAGCAUGACGCCCAGAUGACGCCACCACGCUGCGGGUCGAGCUGCGGCGCCUGGUCCACGAGCGCGUCCGCCUCGAGGGAGUGGUGACCGUGGACCGGCCCGACUGACCCUGCGCGCAUGCCCAGUAGCUGCAUAGCUGCACCCUAGGCAGAGUCCUUUUCUGAUGCUCGUGUAAGACUGUCCUGGUACUGGCACUUAGGAAAGUGUAAGUGGUAGUGUCUGAUGUGCAAACGUUUGACCGUAGUUAGAGCCAAAAGAAAGAAACGCCAAUCGUUCUUGAGCAAUGAACUUUCACUGCAGAAUAUCAGGAAUAUUUCUACCCAAAAUAGAAAAAGGAAAAAAAAAAAAGAUACAGAGAAGAAGCGCCUUCCGACCUGCCACCACGUGGUACUCUGUUUAACACAAACACCAGCCAUUCAUGAACGGUAACUGCCUUUGGAACAAUCAGCUUCUUAGUCCACAUGAUGUGAGGUCACUAUUACUCCAUCCGCAAGUUUUAAUUAUUAAUACUUCUGUCAUGAGCGGAUAAGGGGCAGCAGUGGGAAACCCUGAGGGGGUGAGGAGUUUUGCAGAUGUCACUCAUGACAGUGGAUCGUCUAUAGUCUUGUAAACACAAGUUCUGUUUUUUUUUCUUAAAUGGCAUCUUGGAAUCCAUCAUUAAGCUCUUUCAUCUUCGGGAAAAUAUGGAAGCACAUGACCUUAUAGGAUGAGGGUGAGAGUGACCUUGGAGUUGGCCAAGACCAUUCACGCUCCGUCCUCAAGAAGGAAGACUGCUAAUAGGGUCUGUGUUCUGACUAAGCAUAGAGUAGGAAAGCAUACUCUGGCAUCCUAUUUGCUUUACUCUGAUGUGAUGCUGAAAAUGGUCAACUCACCAAAAUAUGACCCUCAGCCCCACUUCAUUGGCACCCCCCUUCGGUUUGGUUCUGUAACCCAACCUCAUUCCUAUACAUUGAGAAGCUCAGGGGUUCUAGCAGGGGCUUCCAGAAAACCAAUUCUUCUAUUCUGGGGGAUCAGUUCCAAGCUGUACUAGAUCAUCACAUGACCUCCCAGGAACCCAGGUGUAUUUUCUGCUGGAUGAUCGAGCAGUGCCACAGCUGACAGAGUUCCCAUCUUUGGUCCAGGAGGUUCUUCCAAACAGAGGAAGGAGCCCGGGAAACAACCAGCCAGCGGUGGCUGGCUUCUGGACUGGCAUUUGGCUCUGAAAUGGUAGAAUUAGAACCUGAGAGGUAUUCCUGUAGUGCCGUGGACGAUUAGAAGUAAGACACACAAAAGAAAGAAGCGGUUUCAACAGUUGCUAUGGUGAUGAUAGUGAUGCCUUUGUUCGCUGUUUGUGACAAAGACCCUGCACUUUCCUCCCUAAGGCCCCUCAAAAUGGUCCUGAGGACUGGCUCUGGGCAUCCCCGAGGCAGGCGGACUCAUGUAGGGAUGCUUCGUGGGCCAGAGCCACAGAGCAGGGAAGACACAGCCCACGGAAGGGGUUGGCUGGCCCAGGGCCCUGCCUGCUCUGUGAAUACGUGGCCGGCGUAAAGACAGACCUGGUCUGUGUCCCUUGCGUGAGUCAAGGUUGGGCUUCCUGGCCUCAUGUACAUCUCAUUUCUAGCAAACCGCCAGGUGUUUGCCCAUCCUGGGGACAUACACAGGAGUAUCCACUGAAGAAACAUUUUUUUCCUUUAGUGGCUCUGCAUGAUGCUGUGAUGUUGAUUUGGGCCUCCCGUUAGAGUAGAUCAUGCCACGUUGACUAAAUACACAAAUAUUUAUUCUUUCAGCAGGCACCACCUGCAGACACAAUAGCUCAGCCCUCCGAAUUAGGAACUGCUUCCCUAACGGCACUUGCUAAAUGCAGUUACACAGCAAUACAGAUAUCAGUGUUAUGUUAGAAUGUGGUCCAGUGUGUUAGCCUGUUGCAGUCAAAGUUGUAGUGGUGUUAGAAUGAAGUCAUCCCUCACUAGGCGACUAGAGCUUGGCUCUAACCAGCCCUGACCUUGGGUACUUGAGCUAAUUCCCACCUUGCCCUGGCUUCAUUUCCCCGUCAUGGACGCCCAUCAUAUAUGGCUCCUAGCCCGGAACACGAGGGGCAGCGGCCACCGGGCCCCUUCUGCGCCUCUCCAGCCCCACACUGUUAGGACUUGGACCUCUGUCUCCCUGGCGUCCACCUCCCAGGCCAGAGCUGCUGCCACGCGGAGAUGCUGCAGCCUCCCCGCCUGCCGCUCACAGACCUGCCGAACCGCACCAACCUCUUCCUGGUGAGUGGGACCCCGUCGGCGCCCUGCCCUCCCGCCGCCCAGCACACACCCGGCGAGGUUUUGGGGGGGUGUGGGCACACCUGGUGGCCAUCUGAAUGGGGUCACUCAUUCCUCUGCCGGCCCCUGCGGGUUCUGUGUUGCCUAUUUGUGUCUGAAGCAUAUUAAAAUGAACUUGAGGGACCUUCUGUGACAUACACUUGAUAUGACUGUUGGCCUGGCCCUCCCGGGCUUCAGGAGGCCUGGUGGGGUCAGGCAGGGAGGCCAGAAGGCUGGGCUCCCCUUGUGUGUGCGCCAGCUGGCCGUCUCUGAGUCGCGAGAGCCCCCAACUCUCCCCCGACUCGGCGGAUUCAGGAUCCCUGCACCCAUCUUCCAGCCCGGAUCCUUCAGUAGCCUUGCCCAGGCUUUGGGGGCUCAGCGGCUCUGUUCCGUCUCCGCCGUCCUGGGGAGGCCCGGGUGGGUUGGAGGAGGUUGGAAAAAGGACACGAGAUUGAGGCCAGUCCCCUCACCGUCAACGUCGAAUUCAGACGUGGACCUAUUGCUUCUACCGCAGAGUGAGCUCGGUCUGUCCUCAAGCCCGUCCCUCUGCACCUGGCUGGUCACAGAGCUGUCUCAGAGCGCCGGGAACAGGCUGGCGGGCUUGGGGGCCGUGGUCACAGCACUGCCUUGUCAUGCGCUUUCUCAUGCCCUCAGGGUUCUUGGGGGCCAGGACACCUCUUGAACCUAAAAGCGCUCACUUCCCCCACCCGGGCCUUCAGGCUGGGCUGCAGCCACUUGGCUGCCUGCCCAGGAGUGUCCCUCGGGGCUGCCCUGCCUGGGGUCGCAGGCUGGUUCCCUGUGGGGUUUGGAGGGACCUCCGGAGACUCCAGCCACUGUGCCCUCCCGAACCACUGCCGGACAGGAGCCCCUCGGCAGGUGAUAAAGCCCCUUGAGUUACUCCGGACCUGCCAGCACCACUCCCGGACCCCCUGGGUCACCCACGUAUCCAGGUUAUUGGCGAUGGCUGCUAUUCAUGAUCUACUUGUCAACCCGUCCCAACCUGUUCGUUUCUUCUGGCGUCUUGUGCCACCACCUUUAGCAUACCCACCCUGCAUUCUCCUGUCAGCACAGCCGCUUAACAGAGGGGCGCUGGCGCCCGGCCCAUGGCCCACGGAGGAAACCAGGGUGGAGGGGCCUCGCAUCCGUGGAGAGCUGCGUCCCCCCGUACGGGUGUCUUGUCGUGGCAGAGAGGCUUUUGAAGUCAGCCGCUCGGUCCCCGACGCUGGAAGGAGUGAGGAGAGCGAAGCUCAGGUAGAAGCCUGGGGCAGGGCGUCCCACCCGCUGCUGGAGGCUGUUCUCACUCCGUGGCUGCAUCCGGGAACAGGCCCCCAGCAGUGGCCCUCGGGGCACCCUCGCAUCGCAUCCCUGCAUCCCUCUAGGCAAGAGGCGGGGUCCUGCCGUCUGGGGAGUUUGGGUCAAAUGCUCUAAAAAAUCACCACCACCAUCACAGGCUAGAGCUCAUUCGCUUAAGUUUGCUAAAUAUCUUUUUUUUUUUUUUUUGAACCUGUCUGCUUCUCUCAGACCUCUUUAAAAACAAAAGCAGGACACUUCGGGUUUCUUGAACGCCCAGCUCUGUUCCUUCCCCCUCUGGGGGACAUGCAGGCGAAUUUGCCUCCCUCACCAAGUCUGGGCGAGUUUUCCAGAGCCAGCACCCCAGGGGAUGAAGUGCUGUGCAGCCUAAGCUGGGUGCUCCCGUCCCUGCAGGCCCCCCGGGUCCCUCCCCCCAGACAACCCAGGCAGGCUCAGCUGCUGCUGUCGGUUUCAACUGCACCCAGAUCCACGUAGCAGGGGCUGCACUAGCAGACGCUCAACAAGUAACCGCACGGCUUCAAGGAGUGAAAAUGUAAAGCGUCCGUGGGAAAGAACGACCGCGCAGCUUCUCCCGGCUCCUGCACCUCAGUCCUGAGUGCCCGCGGAUCGGUGCUGAGAAGGAGGCCAGAGCUCACGUCAUCAGCGGACGUACCACCUGCUUCAUUCCCGAAGCCUCUCUCACAUCGCACUUUUUCUGGCCAUAUUGAUGGCUUGGUGGACAGGCUUAUACAGUAAAGCGAAACGAUGGCCCUUGGAAGAGGGGCGGACUGGGCUACCCCGGGUAGGUGUCCCCGCCUUCCCGGCCGUCUGGUGGCUGAACAGCAACCCGAGGAGUCCGUGAGAUUCCUCCCCGCUGCGGAGGCCGGGCUGUCCGGGGGCAGCUUCUGACUCACCAGACGCGUUUCAUCACCAAACUGUGCUCCAGGUGACUCCCCACCCCCAGUCCUCCAGGGACCCCCAUCAGGGUUUCCUAGGAAACUGCCCGGAAGCCUGGCGGGGGCGCUUCAGGCGCCCGCCCGCGCCGGCCGCUAGGUGGCAGUGUGGCGCCGCGGGACUGGCCGCUCGGGGACACGGGGAAGCCGGCCCGUCUACAAGUCCGUAUCUGGGCUCACGGGCGCCUGCCAGUUGUCACAGAUCGCCUUGGGGGAGGGGGCGGCUGAGGGCAGGAAGGGGCACCCUGCCUGCGUUCGUCCCCGCAGACCCCUGGGCGCGGAGGGAAAGCGUCCCCGCGGUCCAGGCCUGGUGGGUGGUUCACCGCGCGGCCGACGGAUGCCCCUCACAUUCCUGAUGCUGAGCGCGCGGGGCCGGCAGCCGCCCCCUGCUCUGCUCUCGGGCAGCAGACCUCCCAGCCUGAUCACGCCGGGCCUCAGGGUCUGGGAAUUAAGGCCCCCUUGACUGAGUGUGCCUCCUGUGUAAGAAAGCGCUUCCUUUCUCAAGGGGGGCGGGGGGUGGUGAGAGAUCGAGGAUUAUGAGAACAGCUACAACCCUCCCCAUCCCUUCCCGCUCCUGCGCGCACCCCACCCUCCAGAUGGGUGGCGGGCGUGUGGCCGGAAACGCAAGGCCAGUGUUCAAGGAAGAGGGGUUUGCUGCACUGACACCCAAGCGCUUCUGCAAACGAGCAGCGUCAGGCCCCGCAGACCCAUUGGCAGGAAGACCUCUGGGCCCAAACCCAAGCCAAGUCCGGAAAAGAGUGGGAGGUGGGGAGACGGCUUCAGAGGAUCCUAAAUGAGGGUCGAGGGGUUCCCUGGCCGAGGCGCUAAAGCCGGAAUGAGGAUUUCCACCAAACGGCUGAAGGAGAACGAGGCAACGCGACAUCCUUCCGGUUGUGGGGAAGCAGGCAGAUACUCAAGAAGCAAAGAGCAGGGUCUGAA
Molecule: RNA transcript, 10769 nt
Organism: Balaenoptera acutorostrata (minke whale)
Lineage: Eukaryota; Metazoa; Chordata; Mammalia; Artiodactyla; Balaenopteridae
Gene: MTUS2
Gene name: microtubule associated scaffold protein 2
Exons: 20
Source: RefSeq, a predicted model, not a curated record